RNAcentral lists this ribosomal RNA (446 nucleotides) under Pseudomonas sp. RNAcentral describes it as "bacterial SSU rRNA". It matches the Rfam family "Bacterial small subunit ribosomal RNA", at positions 271 to 708 of the family's 1533-position model. Lineage: Bacteria; Pseudomonadati; Pseudomonadota; Gammaproteobacteria; Pseudomonadales; Pseudomonadaceae. The record is from RNAcentral.
AGGCGACGAUCCCUAGCUGGUCUGAGAGGAUGACCAGCCACACUGGAACUGAGACACGGUCCAGACUCCUACGGGAGGCAGCAGUGGGGAAUAUUGCACAAUGGGCGCAAGCCUGAUGCAGCCAUGCCGCGUGUAUGAAGAAGGCCUUCGGGUUGUAAAGUACUUUCAGCGGGGAGGAAGGGAGUAAAGUUAAUACCUUUGCUCAUUGACGUUACCCGCAGAAGAAGCACCGGCUAACUCCGUGCCAGCAGCCGCGGUAAUACGGAGGGUGCAAGCGUUAAUCGGAAUUACUGGGCGUAAAGCGCACGCAGGCGGUUUGUUAAGUCAGAUGUGAAAUCCCCGGGCUCAACCUGGGAACUGCAUCUGAUACUGGCAAGCUUGAGUCUCGUAGAGGGGGGUAGAAUUCCAGGUGUACGCGGUGAAAUGCGUAGAGAUCUGGAGGAAUA